Molecule: long non-coding RNA, 362 nt
Filed under: Carica papaya (papaya)
Lineage: Eukaryota; Viridiplantae; Streptophyta; Magnoliopsida; Brassicales; Caricaceae
Description: long non-coding RNA (CPAP_LNC001729)
Source: RNAcentral
GCUUGCGGCGGCGGUUUGCCUCGGGUUGGCCGUUUUCGGCCGAAUUCGGCCACACUCCUAUUGGUUCCUGCGAUAAAACAACCCUACGGCCCUCGGGGGGCCGAAAAUUUACGAAAAACCGAAGCUUACCGGCGGCGGUGCUCUCGGGUGCGGCGGCUCUCCGGUGAAGUUCGUGUUUUGGUGAUUCGGCUCCGAUCAACCUGUAGAGAAAAGAAUGGUGAUCACGGUGAUAUAAAAAUUGCAUUAAACGGAGGCCGGGAAGGGCCUCAUCGGAGGCAAAAACCGAGAAGGGGCGCGGCGGCGCCGCUGGCUUUCGGCCGUGUUUUCCGGCCGUUUGGCCGGGAUUUUGGCUCCGAUUUGGC